RNAcentral lists this non-coding RNA (32 nucleotides) under Schistosoma mansoni. The record is from RNAcentral. Lineage: Eukaryota; Metazoa; Platyhelminthes; Trematoda; Strigeidida; Schistosomatidae.
UGACGAGUCCUAAAUAGGACGAAACACGCGUC